UGUUAUAUUGUCAAAAAAUUCAUUACAAAGCCCUAAAAACACAGCAUUUCUCCCAUUCUCUUUUCCCCAUCGACUUCGCCUCUCCACGAUUUCCCCUGGCGCUUCAGUUCUCACUCUCUCUCUCUCCACCUUCCACGGCCGACCACAUGCGCCUUAGCUCACUCUCGUCUCUCUCUGGUUUCCACCGUCGACUGAUGGGGCCUCAGCCCUCACUCUCGUCUCUCUCCGCCUUCCACCGGAGCCGCUCACUCUCGUCGCUCGCCUCCCAGGACACAAAUCAUUCAUGUAUGUUGUCUAUGCACAUUUAUUUAUCAUUCAUUUGAGUUAUUUUUCCUGUUGUCAAUUUUGAGUCUGCAGAAAACUGGAAAGAAAUGCAUCUGAGGAAAAACCUAAUUGAACAAUGGAGUGUAGAUGCUUGGUGAGGGCAAUAAAGUCAUUUGCAAUUGCGUAGAUGGAGGCCAGGAAGUUCAAUACCCAAAAACUGGGACUAAAGCUUUGCUAAUGUGCAUUUUGGUUGAAGGGUAUCUUCAAAUUGUGCUUAUACAACUGGAAGGUGAAAUUAGCUCACAAUUGUGAUUAUAAUUAUGACAUAAUAUAUUCAGGUCAGAAUUUUUUGAAAGUGUUAUGUAGUCUAUUAUGACUAGAACAGUAGGUCACAAUUAUGAUUUUGUAUGUGGCCUAUAACAUUCUUCGUUCUCUGUACUGGUUUGGUAUAUCUACUGUUUAUUUGUGAUGUUGUUACUUGUAACAAGUGCUAUUUUUUGUGGUAAGUAUUAUUAUUUGUAACUUUCAUAAAUGUAUACUAUAUUCAAUUUGUGAUGUGAAUUAAUGGUACUAUGUUGUUAAACAAUGAUGGGCGUGUGCAUGUUAACCUGCUAUAUAGAGGUCACAUGUUAAUUUUAUUGGAGGAUUCUUAAAAGUAUAUUGAGCUAGUUGAUCUUGUUAUUUCAAAGUUGGGGAAUGGAUUAUGCAGAAGUUGCAAUUACAAUGUCAUGUCAUUGUGUGAAACGUCAAGAUCCUCAUUUCCUUACUAAUUACUGGGCAAUUAGGUAAGGCCCCAGUAAAGAGAGUUGGCCAUACCAACAUGGUAAUUUCUUGAUUCUGACUUAUAGUUAUGAAUAUUCAAUGUAUUGUUCUGUGAUUGAAAAUGUUAUACCAUUAUGAUCAGGUUUGACUUAUUAUGUGGGUUAAUUUUGAUGACAUCCUACAAUACCGCUGACUGUGACCUACUUUAAUUUCAUUCAAAAGCUAAGUUUGAGAUUUUCGUGUGGUUAAAAUGCAACUGGUAAUUAGUAAUUAGUUGUGCAUCCUGUGUAUCACUGGAUUAAUAAGGGUGGUUGAAUAAUUUUUGAUAUUUUCCAAUGAACAAUACACAUAAUUAAUUAUUGUUCAUCUAAUGACUUUUUCUUAAAGAUCUUUAGAGUCAAGAUGCCUUCUUUAAAUUUUAAACUUACGCUAUUUGUUCAGCGCCUCAAAUUUUAUAGUUUAGAUUUAAAACUCUAAAAGACAUUGUCUUGCUGAUGAAAAUUUCAAAAUCAAACAUACCAGACCUGGUAGGAGAACUGCCUAUGCCCCAGAACCUCCCCUUCCUUAAUACCAUCUUACUCCAUGAUUUCAAAUUUCUGAGUUUCACUAUGUGAAAGCAUUCUUUGUGUCAUCUUAUUAUGUUUGUCCAAUUUUCAGGGCUUAGGUUUAUGGCAAAUGCUGGGUAGGACACUAAUGGUUCACAAAUUUUCAUCUGUGACGACCAGUUGCAGGUUGGACGGUCGUCAUGUUGUAUUCGGAAAGGUGCUGCCCGGAAUAGAUGUGGUGUAUAAGAUAGAAGCCGAAUGCAACUAGAGUGGAACAACCAAAAGCAAAGUUGUGAUUGCAGACAGUGGUGAACUUCCCUUGUAAUCAGCUUGUACUUGAACUUGUCAGUUUUACCCUUCUACUCACUUCUACUUACUGCGGGUUAUGCAUCUUAAUUUACAUACCUGAAUUAUGUUAUUUAGGAAAAUGAAAUAGGUACCAAAAAAGUACACUUUUCAAUUUGGCACCUAAUAUUAUGAGUCCAUAAGGCAUGUAGAAUGUAUAUUAGGAAAGAAGAGAGGAAACAGAUGCGAUUUCUCUUACAUUGUUGAUAGAGAUCAUUAGGGGAUCAAUGUUAAUUUUCUA
This is a long non-coding RNA of Olea europaea var. sylvestris, 2157 nucleotides long. RefSeq lists it as uncharacterized. NCBI's taxonomy places the organism in Eukaryota, Viridiplantae, Streptophyta, Magnoliopsida, Lamiales, Oleaceae. The transcript has 4 exons. The record is from RefSeq and is a predicted model, not a curated record.